GAUGAACGCUGGCGGCGUGCCUAAUACAUGCAAGUCGAGCGGACAGACGAGGAGCUUGCUCCUCUGACGUUAGCGGCGGACGGGUGAGUAACACGUGGAUAACCUACCUAUAAGACUGGGAUAACUUCGGGAAACCGGAGCUAAUACCGGAUAAUAUAUUGAACCGCAUGGUUCAAUAGUGAAAGACGGUUUUGCUGUCACUUAUAGAUGGAUCCGCGCCGCAUUAGCUAGUUGGUAAGGUAACGGCUUCCCAAGGCAACGAUGCGUAGCCGACCUGAGAGGGUGAUCGGCCACACUGGAACUGAGACACGGUCCAGACUCCUACGGGAGGCAGCAGUAGGGAAUCUUCCGCAAUGGGCGAAAGCCUGACGGAGCAACGCCGCGUGAGUGAUGAAGGUCUUCGGAUCGUAAAACUCUGUUAUUAGGGAAGAACAAAUGUGUAAGUAACUAUGCACGUCUUGACGGUACCUAAUCAGAAAGCCACGGCUAACUACGUG
This 497-nucleotide ribosomal RNA is filed under the name uncultured bacterium. RNAcentral describes it as "partial 16S ribosomal RNA". It matches the Rfam family "Bacterial small subunit ribosomal RNA", at positions 28 to 507 of the family's 1533-position model. The record is from RNAcentral.